CGGCUCAGUAACACGUGGAUAACCUACCCUUGAGACGGGGAUAAACCCGGGAAACUGGGUAUAAUACCCGAUAGAUCUCGACUGCUGGAAUGCAUCGAGCUUGAAAGCUCCGGCGCUCAAGGAUGGGUCUGCGGCCUAUCAGGUAGUAGUGGGUGUAGCGUACCUACUAGCCUACGACGGGUACGGGUUGUGAGAGCAAGAGCCCGGAGAUGGAUUCUGAGACACGAAUCCAGGCCCUACGGGGUGCAGCAGGCGCGAAAACUUUACAAUGCUGGAAACAGCGAUAAGGGGACCUCGAGUGCCAGGUUACAAAUCUGGCUGUCGUGAUGCCUAAAAAGCAUUGCAUAGCAAGGGCCGGGCAAGACCGGUGCCAGCCGCCGCGGUAACACCGGCGGCUCGAGUGGUAACCGUUAUUAUUGGGUCUAAAGGGUCUGUAGCCGGCCGGAUAAGUCUCUUGGGAAAUCUGGCAGCUUAACUGUCAGGCUUUCAGGAGAUACUGUCUGGCUCGAGGCCGGGAGAGGUGAGAGGUACUUCAGGGGUAGGGGUGAAAUCUUGUAAUCUUUGAAGGACCACCAGUGGCGAAGGCGUCUCACCAGAACGGACCUGACGGCAAGGGACGAAAGCUAGGGGCACGAACCGGAUUAGAUACCCGGGUAGUCCUAGCCGUAAACGAUACUCGCUAGGUGUCGGCAACGGUGCGACCGUU
This 706-nucleotide ribosomal RNA is filed under the name uncultured Methanosaeta sp. RNAcentral describes it as "bacterial SSU rRNA". It matches the Rfam family "Archaeal small subunit ribosomal RNA", at positions 83 to 793 of the family's 1478-position model. Lineage: Archaea; Methanobacteriati; Methanobacteriota; Methanomicrobia; Methanotrichales; Methanotrichaceae. The record is from RNAcentral.